AUUGAACGCUGGCGGCAUGCCUUACACAUGCAAGUCGAACGACAGCACGGGAGCAAUCCUGGUGGCGAGUGGCGAACGGGUGAGUAAUAUAUCGGAACGUGCCCAGUCGUGGGGAUAACGUAGCGAAAGCUACGCUAAUACCGCAUACGAUCUAUGGAUGAAAGCGGGGGAUCGCAAGACCUCGCGCGAUUGGAGCGGCCGAUAUCAGAUUAGGUAGUUGGUGAGGUAAAGGCUCACCAAGCCGACGAUCUGUAGCUGGUCUGAGAGGACGACCAGCCACACUGGGACUGAGACACGGCCCAGACUCCUACGGGAGGCAGCAGUGGGGAAUUUUUGGACAAUGGACGCAAGUCUGAUCCAGCCAUUCCGCGUGCAGGAUGAAGGCCCUCGGGUUGUAAACUGCUUUUGUACGGAACGAAACGGUGAGCUCUAAUACAGUUUGCUAAUGACGGUACCGUAAGAAUAAGCACCGGCUAACU
Molecule: ribosomal RNA, 479 nt
Filed under: uncultured bacterium
Lineage: Bacteria
Description: bacterial SSU rRNA
Rfam family: Bacterial small subunit ribosomal RNA
Source: RNAcentral